This is a small nucleolar RNA of Osmerus eperlanus (European smelt), 132 nucleotides long. Lineage: Eukaryota; Metazoa; Chordata; Actinopteri; Osmeriformes; Osmeridae. The record is from RefSeq and is a predicted model, not a curated record.
CUGCACUGUUCGUAACCUGGUUCACUCUCAGUAUGAAUUUUGGGUUCCAUUCCAGUGCUAUAUGAAUCCACCCAGUGAGGCAGGGGAGUUGUCUGCCUGUGCUGUCUCCCUGUUCACUCUCUGGGUACAUGU